Molecule: long non-coding RNA, 325 nt
Organism: Mus caroli (Ryukyu mouse)
Lineage: Eukaryota; Metazoa; Chordata; Mammalia; Rodentia; Muridae
Source: RefSeq, a predicted model, not a curated record
GGUGGUAACCUAACUGCAACAUCAAAUGGAUAUCUUUUAUCUUCUUGACAGAGCUGCAGCACUUGACAUGUGCACCACUCCCAUAAUGACACUUUAUUGUAACUAUACGAUAACAAAACUCUCGGUCAUCCUGCCACCUUUUUGACUAUUCACCUCACAGACAAAGAAAAAGAACCACCUGCAAGUGGCCUUUAAGUACUUAAAGUGUUCAGUGUUCCUAACCAUCAAGGAAUUUAAGCCAACUUCAAUUAACAGAUGCAACAUCCAAACCACACUUUGAAGAAACAAUAAAGAUCAAAUAGAAAAAGAUUUUAGUGUAGUACCU